UUCACUCUCUUUCUAUAUAUCUGUUCUCUCUUCUCCAAAGUAAUUUGAUGAUUUCCUCAAGUUUUUGCCAUAAUCUUAUCGUUUGUGGUUGGGGGCCAUUUGCAUAUCCCAUCUGCAAAUCAGUCCCAUAUUGGCGAGUUUUAUUUGGGUCUUGGCAAUUCGAUUGCAGAUGAAACCUCCUGCCGAACGCAUGUCUAACACCAGUGAUGACGAUGAGGACGCGGGAGAUGAAGUUGUCGAAAAAAAGAUGAUAAAAAGUGUAGCUACACAUAAGAAUAUAAUGUUGUACAUUGAUGUUUUUAAAUAAUAAUAGUGUUACAUUUUGACCAAAUUGUUAGUAAUAAAAUCUUAGCAAGUGUUGCAUUAUAGUUUC
Long non-coding RNA from Erigeron canadensis, 373 nucleotides. RefSeq lists it as uncharacterized. NCBI's taxonomy places the organism in Eukaryota, Viridiplantae, Streptophyta, Magnoliopsida, Asterales, Asteraceae. The transcript has 2 exons. The record is from RefSeq and is a predicted model, not a curated record.